This 465-nucleotide ribosomal RNA is filed under the name Vreelandella stevensii. RNAcentral's name for it is "partial 16S ribosomal RNA". It matches the Rfam family "Bacterial small subunit ribosomal RNA", at positions 338 to 795 of the family's 1533-position model. Lineage: Bacteria; Pseudomonadati; Pseudomonadota; Gammaproteobacteria; Oceanospirillales; Halomonadaceae. The record is from RNAcentral.
CCUACGGGCGGCAGCAGUGGGGAAUAUUGGACAAUGGGCGAAAGCCUGAUCCAGCCAUGCCGCGUGUGUGAAGAAGGCCUUCGGGUUGUAAAGCACUUUCAGUGGGGAAGAAAGCCUUGGGGCUAAUACCCUCGAGGAAGGACAUCACCCACAGAAGAAGCACCGGCUAACUCCGUGCCAGCAGCCGCGGUAAUACGGAGGGUGCGAGCGUUAAUCGGAAUUACUGGGCGUAAAGCGCGCGUAGGCGGUCUGAUAAGCCGGUUGUGAAAGCCCCGGGCUCAACCUGGGAACGGCAUCCGGAACUGUCAGGCUAGAGUGCCGGAGAGGAAGGUAGAAUUCCCGGUGUAGCGGUGAAAUGCGUAGAGAUCGGGAGGAAUACCAGUGGCGAAGGCGGCCUUCUGGACUGACACUGACGCUGAGGUGCGAAAGCGUGGGUAGCAAACAGGAUUAGAUACCCUGGUAGUC